UGAGGAAUAUUGGUCAAUGGGCGAGAGCCUGAACCAGCCAAGUAGCGUGCAGGAUGACGGCCCUAUGGGUUGUAAACUGCUUUUAUAAGGGAAUAAAGUGAGUCUCGUGAGACUUUUUGCAUGUACCUUAUGAAUAAGGACCGGCUAAUUCCGUGCCAGCAGCCGCGGUAAUACGGAAGGUCCGGGCGUUAUCCGGAUUUAUUGGGUUUAAAGGGAGCGUAGGCCGUCGCUUAAGCGUGUUGUGAAAUGCUGCCGCUCAACGGCAGAAUUGCAGCGCGAACUGGGUGACUUGAGUGCGCGGAACGUGGGCGGAACUCGUCGUGUAGCGGUGAAAUGCUUAGAUAUGACGAAGAACUCCGAUUGCGAAGGCAGCUCACGGUAGCGUUACUGACGCUGAAGCUCGAAAGUGCGGGUAUCGAACAGGAUUAGAUACCCUGGUAGU
Molecule: ribosomal RNA, 442 nt
Filed under: uncultured Prevotella sp.
Lineage: Bacteria; Pseudomonadati; Bacteroidota; Bacteroidia; Bacteroidales; Prevotellaceae
Description: bacterial SSU rRNA
Rfam family: Bacterial small subunit ribosomal RNA
Source: RNAcentral